UAGGGAAUAGGGUGCCACUUGGGAUACAGCCAACCAGUCAGUCAGAGGAACCUGGGUAUAAAACCAGUGGAACCAGUACGGAAAUACCACCAAACUUCCUGUACACUCCCAGUGGGUGUUUCCAGCGCAGCAUGUGGAGAACAUUAUCUUAAUAACUGGUUUAUUUACUUUCAUAUUGGACGUUCUAGGUGUUCAUUGUAUUCCUCUUUCAUAUUGGACGUUCUAGGUGUUCAUUGUAUUCCUCUUUCAUAUUGGACGUUCUAGGUGGUCAUUGUAUUCCUCUUUCAUAUUGGACGUUCUAGGUGGUCAUUGUAUUCCUCUUUCAUAUUGGACGUUCUAGGUGUGUAUUGUAUUCCUCUUUCAUAUUGGACGUUCUAGGUGUUCAUUGUAUUCCUCUUUCAUAUUGGACGUUCUAGGUGUUCAUUGUAUUCCUCUUUCAUAUUGGACGUUCUAGGUGUUCAUUGUAUUCCUCUUUCAUAUUGGACGUUCUAGGUGGUCAUUGUAUUCCUCUUUCAUAUUGGACGUUCUAGGUGGUCAUUGUAUUCCUCUUUCAUAUUGGACGUUCUAGGUGUGUAUUGUAUUCCUCUUUCAUAUUGGACGUUCUAGGUGUGUAUUGUAUUCCUCUUUCAUAUUGGACGUUCUAGGUGUGUAUUGUAUUCCCCUUUCAUAUUGGACGUUCUAGGUGUGUAUUGUAUUCCUCUUUCAUAUUGGACGUUCUAGGUGUUCAUUGUAUUCCUCUUUCAUAUUGGACGUUCUAGGUGGUCAUUGUAUUCCUCUUUCAUAUUGGACGUUCUAGGUGUGUAUUGUAUUCCUCUUUCAUAUUGGACGUUCUAGGUGUGUAUUGUAUUCCCCUUUCAUAUUGGACGUUCUAGGUGUGUAUUGUAUUCCCCUUUCAUAUUGGACGUUCUAGGUGUGUAUUGUAUUCCUCUUUCAUAUUGGACGUUCUAGGUGUGUAUUGUAUUCCUCUUUCAUAUUGGACGUUCUAGGUGUUCAUUGUAUUCCUCUUUCAUAUUGGACGUUCUAGGUGUUCAUUGUAUUCCUCUUUCAUAUUGGACGUUCUAGGUGUUCAUUGUAUUCCUCUUUCAUAUUGGACGUUCUAGGUGUUCAUUGUAUUCCUCUUUCAUAUUGGACGUUCUAGGUGUAUAUUGUAUUCCUCCAAGGGGUUUUUGAAAUGUCAAUAAACAGAGAAAAACCUUGCUAGUCUGUGUCCUAAUUUAUCCUGAUCUUCCCAGAAA
Long non-coding RNA from Oncorhynchus keta (chum salmon), 1235 nucleotides. RefSeq lists it as uncharacterized. The transcript is spliced from 2 exons. The record is from RefSeq and is a predicted model, not a curated record. NCBI's taxonomy places the organism in Eukaryota, Metazoa, Chordata, Actinopteri, Salmoniformes, Salmonidae.